Molecule: ribosomal RNA, 206 nt
Filed under: uncultured bacterium
Lineage: Bacteria
Description: partial 16S ribosomal RNA
Rfam family: Bacterial small subunit ribosomal RNA
Source: RNAcentral
GUAGGUGGUCUGUCAAGUCCGAUGUGAAAGCCCUGGGCUUAACCUGGGAAUUGCAGUCGAUACUACUCAGCUAGAGUAUGGGAGAGGGAAGUGGAAUUCCCGGUGUAGCGGUGAAAUGCGUAGAUAUCGGGAGGAACAUCAGUGGCGAAGGCGGCUUCCUGGCCCAAUACUGACACUCAGGUGCGACAGCGUGGGGAGCAAACAGG